UACGUAGGGACCAAGCGUUGUUCGGAUUUACUGGGCGUAAAGGGCGCGUAGGCGGCGUGUUAAGUCAGCUGUGAAAUCUCCGAGCUUAACUCGGAACGGUCAGCUGAUACUGAUGUGCUAGAGUGCAGAAGGGGCAAUCGGAAUUCUUGGUGUAGCGGUGAAAUGCGUAGAUAUCAAGAGGAACACCUGAGGUGAAGACGGGUUGCUGGGCUGACACUGACGCUGAUGCGCGAAAGCCAGGGGAGCAAACGGG
This 253-nucleotide ribosomal RNA is filed under the name uncultured bacterium. RNAcentral's name for it is "partial 16S ribosomal RNA". It matches the Rfam family "Bacterial small subunit ribosomal RNA", at positions 524 to 776 of the family's 1533-position model. The record is from RNAcentral.